This 253-nucleotide ribosomal RNA is filed under the name uncultured bacterium. RNAcentral describes it as "partial 16S ribosomal RNA". It matches the Rfam family "Bacterial small subunit ribosomal RNA", at positions 524 to 776 of the family's 1533-position model. The record is from RNAcentral.
UACGGAGGGUGCAAACGUUGCUCGGAAUCAUUGGGCGUAAAGCGCACGUAGGCGGUUCGAAAAGUCGGAUGUGAAAGCCCUCGGCUCAACCGAGGAAGUGCAUUCGAUACUGUCGGACUUGAGUACGGGAGAGGGUCGCGGAAUUCCCGGUGUAGAGGUGAAAUUCGUAGAUAUCGGGAGGAACAUCAGUGGCGAAGGCGGCGACCUGGACCGAUACUGACGCUGAGGUGCGAAAGCGUGGGGAGCAAACAGG